Molecule: ribosomal RNA, 447 nt
Filed under: uncultured bacterium
Lineage: Bacteria
Description: partial 16S ribosomal RNA
Rfam family: Bacterial small subunit ribosomal RNA
Source: RNAcentral
AGCGGACGCUGGCGGCAGGCUUAACACAUGCAAGUCGAGCGCACCGCAAGGGGAGCGGCAGACGGGUGAGUAACAAGUGGGAACGUGUCCUUUGGUCUGGAACAACCCAGGGAAACUUGGGCUAAUACCGGAUACGUCCGAACGGAGACAGAUUUAUCGUCAAAGGAUCGGCCCGGGUCUGAUUAGCUAGUCGGUGGGGUAACGGCCCACCAAGCCGACGAACAGUAGCUGGUCUGAGAGGAUGAUCAGCCACAUUGGGACUGAGGCACGGCCCAAACUCCUACGGUAGGCAGCAGUGGGGAAUAUUGGACAAUGGGGGCAACCCUGAUCCAGCCAUGCCGCGUGAGUGAUGAAGGCCUUAGGGUUGUAAAGCUCUUUUAGCGGGGAAGAUUAUGGCGGUACCCGCAGAAAAAGCCCCGGCUAACUUCGUGCCAGCCGCCGCAGUAA